UACGAAGGGGGCUAGCGUUGUUCGGAAUUACUGGGCGUAAAGCGAACGUAGGCGGUGUUCCAUGUCAGAGGUGAAAGCCUGGGGCUCAACUCCAGAACUGCCUUUGAUACUGGCGAGCUUGAGUCCGGGAGAGGUGAGUGGAACUGCGAGUGUAGAGGUGAAAUUCGUAGAUAUUCGCAAGAACACCAGUGGCGAAGGCGGCUCACUGGCCCGGUACUGACGCUGAGGUGCGAAAGCGUGGGGAGCAAACAGG
This 253-nucleotide ribosomal RNA is filed under the name uncultured prokaryote. Its description in RNAcentral is "partial 16S ribosomal RNA". It matches the Rfam family "Bacterial small subunit ribosomal RNA", at positions 524 to 776 of the family's 1533-position model. The record is from RNAcentral.